This 429-nucleotide ribosomal RNA is filed under the name Acidobacteriota bacterium. RNAcentral describes it as "Acidobacteria bacterium partial 16S ribosomal RNA". It matches the Rfam family "Bacterial small subunit ribosomal RNA", at positions 355 to 776 of the family's 1533-position model. The record is from RNAcentral. Lineage: Bacteria; Pseudomonadati; Acidobacteriota.
UGGGGAAUUUUGGACAAUGGGGGAAACCCUGAUCCAGCCAUCCCGCGUGUGCGAUGAAGGCCUUCGGGUUGUAAAGCACUUUUGGCAGGAAAGAAACGUCAUGGGUUAAUACCCCGUGAAACUGACGGUACCUGCAGAAUAAGCACCGGCUAACUACGUGCCAGCAGCCGCGGUAAUACGUAGGGUGCAAGCGUUAAUCGGAAUUACUGGGCGUAAAGCGUGCGCAGGCGGUUCGGAAAGAAAGAUGUGAAAUCCCAGAGCUCAACUUUGGAACUGCAUUUUUAACUGCCGGGCUAGAGUGUGUUAGAGGGAGGUGGAAUUCCGCGUGUAGCAGUGAAAUGCGUAGAUAUGCGGAGGAACACCGAUGGCGAAGGCAGCCUCCUGGGAUAACACUGACGCUCAUGCACGAAAGCGUGGGGAGCAAACAGG